AUUAUUCCGCCUUUUGUGGCAUUGGUGUUUGAUACGAGUAGUCUCAGCCUGUGCAGCAUUAAGUACAACCACGCUUUCUGCGCCCCCAGGUGGGAGGAUGCUCCGUUCCGGGAGAGCCUCCUGGCCGUGCGCGGGCAUUCCCGUGAUGUUGCCAAGGGGUAACAAAUUAAUAAUACCGGAAUGAGAAUGUAUUAGUAAGUAUAAGGGAAAGAGAGAGUUAAGCUUGAGGCAAAAAAAAAAAAAAAAAAAAAAAAAAAAAAAAAAAAAAAAAAAAAAAAAUUGAUUAAGCAUUGGUAAUAAAAGGCUGAAAUUAAGAGGCUGUGAGAAAGAGAAACCAACAGCAUUUCAUAGUUUGCUGAAGACAAUACCAAAAUUCCUUCUAAGGCAGUAACUUUUUUUUCCCGCCCAGAAGUACUUGGAUGAAAUAAUACAUGUUUUUGUUAAUAGUAUUCUGUUUUUCAGUGUUUUUCUGAAAGCUGCCAGCCAUUGAAUUUGGAUGGAUUUGGAAGUUAAAGGAGUUGCUGCAUCCCCUCGAAGAAAGGCUGAGCUGUCAAUGAGGGGGAAGAAAUAUCAGAAGACAAGACCAGAAAACCUGCCAUCCCUCAGAGACAGAUCCAAGCUGAAGCACGGUCAGUAUGAAGGAGGUACAAAGGAAGAAUCUAAGCAGCAUCCUCAGAGAAUUGCAGAAAAGAAAAAAGACCACCUCCAGUAUCCAGACACUUCCAUAAAGGAGUUCUUCCUUUAUAUGCACUUCUGCAAGCCCAUCAAAAGGAUAUUUACAGGAGGAGCCAAGUUAUCUGAAAAUGAAGAAAUAGAUGGCAAAUGUAUGCUGGGAGAGAAAAAGCAGGACUGGAUUUUUUCUUUUUUUGGUGAUAUUGGGUUCCAGAAAAAUGCUUGCUAAGCACUAGAAGCAUGUGUGUUAAUUCUUCUCACAGAUUUUAAUAUAAUGUCUAUCAGAACAGGUUUUUUGUGUUAGAUAUUAUCACUGCCUGAUUAGAUGAAUAAAUAAAA
This 1011-nucleotide long non-coding RNA is filed under the name Serinus canaria (Common canary). RNAcentral's name for it is "lncRNA (ENSSCAG00000008891.1)". Lineage: Eukaryota; Metazoa; Chordata; Aves; Passeriformes; Fringillidae. The record is from RNAcentral.